CUCCGGUUGAUCCUGCCGGACCCGACUGCUAUCAGAGUGGGACUAAGCCAUGCGAGUCAACAUAGCAAUAUGUGGCAUACGGCUCAGUAACACGUAGUCAACAUGCCCAGGGGACGUGGAUAACCUCGGGAAACUGAGGAUAAACCGCGAUAGGUCAUCACUUCUGGAAUGGGUAAUGACUUAAAUCUAUAUGGCCCCUGGAUUGGACUGCGGCCGAUCAGGCUGUUGGUGAGGUAAUGGCCCACCAAACCUGUAACCGGUACGGGCUCUGAGAGGAGGAGCCCGGAGAUGGGCACUGAGACAAGGGCCCAAGCCCUAUGGGGCGCAGCAGGCGCGAAACCUCUGCAAUAGGCGAAAGCUUGACAGGGUUACUCUGAGUGAUUUCCGUUAAGGAGAUCUUUUGGCACCUCUAAAAAUGGUGCAGAAUAAGGGGUGGGCAAGUCUGGUGUCAGCCGCCGCGGUAAUACCAGCACCCCGAGUGGUCGGGACGUUUAUUGGGCCUAAAGCAUCCGUAGCCGGUUCUACAAGUCUUCCGUUAAAUCCACCUGCUUAACAGAUGGGCUGCGGAAGAUACUAUAGAGCUAGGAGGCGGGAGAGGCAAGCGGUACUCGAUGGGUAGGGGUAAAAUCCGUUGAUCCAUUGAAGACCACCAGUGGCGAAGGCGGCUUGCCAGAAUGCGCUCGACGGUGAGGGAUGAAAGCUGGGGGAGCAAACCGGAUUAGAUACCCGGGUAGUCCCAGCCGUAAACGAUGCAGACUCGGUGAUGGGUUGGCUUCGCGCUAACCCAGUGCCGCAGGGAAGCCGUUAAGUCUGCCGCCUGGGUAGUACGGUCGCAAGACUGAAACUUAAAGGAAUGGCGGGGGGAGCA
RNAcentral lists this ribosomal RNA (868 nucleotides) under uncultured archaeon. RNAcentral describes it as "bacterial SSU rRNA". It matches the Rfam family "Archaeal small subunit ribosomal RNA", at positions 1 to 878 of the family's 1478-position model. The record is from RNAcentral.